This 414-nucleotide ribosomal RNA is filed under the name uncultured bacterium. Its description in RNAcentral is "bacterial SSU rRNA". It matches the Rfam family "Bacterial small subunit ribosomal RNA", at positions 355 to 787 of the family's 1533-position model. The record is from RNAcentral.
UGGGGGAUAUUGCACAAUGGGGGAAACCCUGAUGCAGCAAUGCCGCGUGAGGGAAGAAGGUCUUCGGAUUGUAAACCUAAGUAGCCAGGGACGAUAAUGACGGUACCUGGAGAGUAAGCUCCGGCUAACUACGUGCCAGCAGCCGCGGUAAUACGUAGGGAGCGAGCGUUGUCCGGAUUUACUGGGUGUAAAGGGUGCGUAGGCGGGAUGGCAAGUCAGAUGUGAAAUACCGGGGCUUAACCCCGGGGCUGCAUUUGAACUGUCGUUCUUGAGUGAAGUAGAGGCAGGCGGAAUUCCUAGUGUAGCGGUGAAAUGCGUAGAUAUUAGGAGGAACACCAGUGGCGAAGGCGGCCUGCUGGGCUUUAACUGACGCUGAGGCACGAAAGCAUGGGGAGCAAACAGGAUUAGAUACCC